UCAUCCAUCCAAAGCUAAAUUCAAGUUUAAAUCCUUUCUUCUCCUAUUAACUGUCUUUAGAAAAGUGGCAAUAACAAAUGGGAGAACAUCUCACUCUAGGCUAAUGGAAGUCUGGUGCCUCAUUCAUAUGCUUUCUCAGUAGACACACAGCCAAGGCAAGUUUUUAAAAAAAAUACUUUGAGGAGCAGGAACAUGUCUGCAGUGGAAUGAAUGCUGGAAGAACCUCUGCAUCUGGGAUGAAAGGGGCAAGUUGCUAUCCAUCAAGGGUUGAGAAGUCUGCUGUAGCUGCUGGAGAAGAGGCCUGAACAUCUCCAAUCAGCUCUUCUGUUGCUGGCUUUGGGACUCCUUGUGAGCAGACUGCAGCCCCAGGCCCUUUAAAGUUGGGUGUGACUCAGGACUUCCAAGGGGGAGUGUAGCUAUAAAGCUGAGUCCAUAAGGCCUGGGUGGACUUCAAUUUUAAUCUGUUACAUGUAUUUGUAGAAUAUUAUCUCUGGGUGGAUACUGGUCACUCUGGGACUGUUACAACAGCUGGUGUUGAGAAGGACUAGGUAGCAGUGAGAGGGCUACCAAGAACUAUCUAGUUGACUACAAAGCAGUCCCCUGGAGCUGCUUUUAGGGGGCUGCUGGACUAAUUGGAUGUCUAUCCCUACCCAACGGUCAAGAAAUGGUUGCACUUUGUCCUCUGCCCCAAAGCACUUUACAGCUAUGCUAUGGUACUUUAGUUCAAUUUGGCCCCUCCAAAAACCUGGUGGUUCAUUUUAUUUUAUUUCAUUUUAUUUUUAUUCACUUUAUGUUUUUAAUGGGCUUUUAUGGUUAAUGUAAUUUACUGUUUGCAUAAUGUCGAUUUUACUGUGUUUUAUUCAUUGUAAUAUGUUUUUAAUUGUUGUACUUGUUUACUGUUUUCGGGCCUCUGUCCCAUGUUAGCAGCCCCGAGUCCCUGCAAGGGGAUGGUGGGGGGAUAGAAAAAUAAAGUUACUUACUUACUUACUAAUUGGCCUGAUUGACUGGGAAUACACCCAUUGACUGUGUGUUAAGUGUUGUUAU
Molecule: long non-coding RNA, 1044 nt
Organism: Anolis carolinensis (green anole)
Lineage: Eukaryota; Metazoa; Chordata; Lepidosauria; Squamata; Anolidae
Exons: 3
Source: RefSeq, a predicted model, not a curated record